RNAcentral lists this ribosomal RNA (331 nucleotides) under uncultured bacterium. Its description in RNAcentral is "bacterial SSU rRNA". It matches the Rfam family "Bacterial small subunit ribosomal RNA", at positions 568 to 898 of the family's 1533-position model. The record is from RNAcentral.
CGCGUAGGUGGUAGUGUAAGUCUGAGGUGGAAUCCUAUGGCUUAAACCAUAGAACUGCCUUGGAUACUGUAUUACUUGAGUCAGUGAGGGGAGGGUAGAAUUCCUGGUGUAGCGGUGAAAUGCGUAGAUAUCAGGAGGAAGGCCUGUGGCGAAGGCGGCCCUCUGGCGCUGGACUGACACUGAGGCGCGAAAGCGUGGGGAGCAAACAGGAUUAGAUACCCUGGUAGUCCACGCCCUAAACGGUGGGCACUAGGUGUAGGGCUCGUAAGGGUUCUGUGCCGAAGGGAAACCAUUAAGUGCCCCGCCUGGGGAGUACGGCCGCAAGGUUGAA